This 253-nucleotide ribosomal RNA is filed under the name uncultured bacterium. Its description in RNAcentral is "partial 16S ribosomal RNA". It matches the Rfam family "Bacterial small subunit ribosomal RNA", at positions 524 to 776 of the family's 1533-position model. The record is from RNAcentral.
UACGUAGGGUGCAAGCGUUGUCCGGAAUUAUUGGGCGUAAAGAGCGUGUAGGCGGCCCGAUUAGUCCGCUGUGAAAGUCCAGGGCUCAACCCUGGAAUGCCGGUGGAUACUGCAGGUCUAGAGUCCGGAAGAGGCGAGUGGAAUUCCUGGUGUAGCGGUGGAAUGCGCAGAUAUCAGGAGGAACACCAAUAGCGAAGGCAGCUCGCUGGGACGGUACUGACGCUAAGGCGCGAAAGCGUGGGGAGCGAACAGG